UCCGGUUUGUCACCGGCAGUCUCGCAUGAGUCCCCAACUAAAUGCUGGCAACAUGCGACGGGGGUUGCGCUCGUUGCGGGACUUAACCCAACAUCUCACGACACGAGCUGACGACAACCAUGCAGCACCUGUGUUCCCGCCAGCCGAACUGAAGGGCCCCAUUUCUGGAGCCCAUACGGGACAUGUCAAGGACUGGUAAGGUUCUGCGCGUUGCUUCGAAUUGAACCACAUGCUCCACCGCUUGUGCGGGCCCCCGUCAAUUCCUUUGAGUUUUAGCCUUGCGGCCGUACUCCCCAGGCGGGGCACUUAAUGCGUAAGCUACGGCGCGGAAAACGUGGAAUGUCCCCCACACCUAGUGCCCAACGUUUACGGCAUGGACUAC
RNAcentral lists this unclassified non-coding RNA (382 nucleotides) under uncultured bacterium. Its description in RNAcentral is "contains 16S-23S intergenic spacer region". The record is from RNAcentral.